Molecule: small RNA, 98 nt
Filed under: Flavobacterium tiangeerense
Lineage: Bacteria; Pseudomonadati; Bacteroidota; Flavobacteriia; Flavobacteriales; Flavobacteriaceae
Description: Flavo-1 RNA
Rfam family: Flavo-1 RNA
Source: RNAcentral
CCCUAGCCCUGAUAGCAGCGUAAAUCCUUUUUUAUAGGAUACAGCCAUUUAAGGGCUGUUUCCUAUAAAAAAGAUUGAAGCGAAUAGCAGGAAAAAGC